RNA transcript from Talpa occidentalis (Iberian mole), 14547 nucleotides. It is a transcript of the gene named chloride channel CLIC like 1, with no coding region annotated. The transcript is spliced from 12 exons. NCBI's taxonomy places the organism in Eukaryota, Metazoa, Chordata, Mammalia, Eulipotyphla, Talpidae. The record is from RefSeq and is a predicted model, not a curated record.
CCGGCGCCCGCUGCGUCGCCCUGGAAGGACCUCGCCAUCUUCCCGCGUCGGCGGUGGCCGGUGAGCGGCUUCCGGGACCCACAGGUGCGCUGCGGGGAAGGAUGCUGCGCGCUCUGCUCCUGUGUGGGUGUCUGUGGCUGGUGGCUGGUGACGAGCACCACGAUGACUGGAUAGACCCCACGGACAUGCUCAACUACGACGCGGCCUCGGGGACCAUGAGGAAGUCUCAGGUGAAAUAUGAUACAUCAGGGAGGGAAGAGGGCAGCUCUGACGUGCCCUGUGCCAAUGAAUUGUCAGCGUGUUACAGCAAACUUGAGUCAUUAACUCAUCAGAUUGAUGAGUGUGAGAAGAAAAAGAGGGACGAUUAUGAAAGUCAAAGCAAUCCUGUUUUUAGGAGAUACUUAAAUAAGAUUUUAAUUGAAACCAGAAAGCUUGGACUUUCCGAUGAAGACAAAGGCGACUUGCAUUAUGACGCUGAAAUUAUCCUUACACGACAAACCCUAUUAGAAAUACAGAAGUUUCUCAAUGGAGAGGAGUGGAAACCAGGAGCCUUGGAUGAUGCCCUGAGUGAUAUCUUAAUUAAUUUUAAGGUUCAUAAUUUUGAAAGAUGGAAGUGGCGAUUUGAAGAUUACUUUGGAGUGGAUCCGUAUGAUGUGUUCAUGGUGCUUUUAUGCCUGCUGUGUGUUGUGAUGCUGAUAAUGGCAGCUGCAAAGCUGUGCAUGAAUGUUCGUUGGUACACACUGCUGGCAUUUGUCCUUUUCAUCAGUUUUGUCUUCAGUUUGGGAUGGAAUUGGAUCUAUUUAUAUAAGCUGGCUUUCGCUCAGCAUCAGGCCGAAGUCGCCAAGAUGGAGCCACUGAACAACGUGUGUGCUGAGAAGAUGGACUGGGCUGGAAGUCUCUGGGAAUGGUUAACAAGUACUUGGACCUAUAAGGAUGACCCAUGCCAAAAAUACUAUGAGCUCUUAGUAGUCAACCCUAUUUGGUUGGUCCCACCAGCAAAGGUAGUGACGCUUACGCUUACCAGCUUUGUCACGGACCCACUGAAGCACGUCGGCAAAGGCAUCGGGGAGUUUAUCCGAGCACUCAUGAAGGAGAUCCCGGUGCUGCUUCACAUUCCAGUGCUGCUGAUCAUGGCCUUAGCUGUCCUGAGCUGCUGCUAUGGUUUUGGGACAUCUAUUCAUAGGGUGAGGUUUUCUGGAGGUCCUGAGAGAGAGCCACCCAGGGCACUUCAGCCGGGUGACAGAAGACAGCAGCGGGAAAUUGGCUAUAGACCCCAUGCUGGAGCAGGUGAUGCAGAUUUCUAUUACAAGAGCCAGAUUGGCCCCAGUGAGCAGGGUCCUUAUGAAAACCCGUGUGAGGGCAGAACAGAUGCUUGGAGUCAGAGAACUGCUGACCUGAGGUUUCAGAUGGGCAACAAGAGCCCUGAAGUUCUCCGGGCAUCCGACUUGCCAGACUCAGAGGCGAAAGAGCAUCCCCCGGUGGUGCCCAGUCAUAAAUCACCUACUGUGGCUACAAAGCCCCAGGAGCCCGGCGUGAUCCCAGCAGCGCACGCCCUGAUGGAAAGCAGCACCCAGGGUGGCCAGGUGGCCCAGACUGUCUGUGACCAAGGAAGACCAGAGCCCGGGGAAGGGUUACCCGCAGCGGAAAAGGCCCCUCUCAGGACUGAUGCCAAAGGCAGCCCCGAAGAAUGCGGCCCAUGCAGCACAGGGGGCACCGCAGCAGGACUGUGCGCAGAGCAUCUGGAUGGCAGCCCGUGUGCUAGCGGCUAGUGGACAGCAGACGAGGCAUGGACACGGCGCCGAGGUUCUCUGGGUUUUGGAAAGUAUUGUCGUCACGGCUGUUUACUUUAGUCUCUCAAUAGCUCAUACUUACGACACUGUGCCAACUGAAACAGUAUUUUUGUUGAAAAUCAGAAUUAACAAAUAUCUGUAUGUAGAUUUUUAAAAUGUCAUUCUUUGAUAUUAAGAGACAUAGCACAAAACUUAGAUGUGGUAAUUUUGGAACAGGCUGUCAUGGUGAACGUGUGGCUGGAGUGAACUAGGGGACCUAGAAACAGCUUGUUGACAGGUACAUGUAGCAGCCAGUUAACCACCAUAUGCUGCCAAGUGGAAGUCCUACUAUGCUGACUUGCUACCGGACAGUUGGUAGCCCUGAUUUGGAUUCAGAUGUUUUCCAAGUGGUAGGUUUAUGAGCAGCAUCCAAUGUAGCCAAUUCACCUAGCUCUUCAGGUACAUCAGCUUCAUAGCGCAGCACAGAGCCUGCGUCCCCCGUCAGUUGUCUCUGGAGGCUGUGCACAGGUCAGUGGGCCUGCACUGUCCCGUCCCGCCUUCCUCUAAACGCCUGCAGCGGUUACUAGCCGGCUUUAUUCUCUGCUAAGAUGGCUGAGGUUGCUGGAUGGCACAGUAGACCUGUCAUCUCAGCUUUACACAGUCAGUAGACUGAGAAUGGCUUUAUCUCCUUCCUGUGCAGUGAGGUACACGGUUUCUGAGACUGAUUUUCCUUGCUACUCAGAAGCCCAGCAGCUAGAUAUCCCUGUACCAUGUGUUACAGCGAACCAUGUGCAGUUCCAAUUCUAAGACAUCGCUGCUUAGAAAGGACAACUGAUCAGGAAAACAGUGGAAUGUUCUUAACAGGCAGGUGAUACACAGUCAACAUUUAACUUAUUUUGAUUUUUAAAACUCUUCUUGUUUUAAACUUUUUUAAAAAGCAGUUUAUGUAUUUUAUACAAGGACCUAGCUAGAAAGCAAAUUUCACUUAUAUUCAGGUAUCCUUUGUUUUAACCUUCACACUACAAGUAUGUUUAGCUGUUUACUAAAAAUACUAGACAGGAUUAGUCUUAAUUUUUGUGCAGGUGUUUGUUUAAAAAAAAUAUUCAAAUCAUUUUUUUUUUUUUUAACAUGAAAUCAGAAUACCCCUUUUUGGCUCUCAGAAGCAUCAUAAUCUUAUGUGUCAGUAUUUUCUAGUAUAUUGUAACAAACAUCCUUAGUAUUUCAUCAGGAAGUUAAUCUUUUCCCCAGUGUGUGUUUGCAGGUAAUAUGGAAUAUAGCAACUAGCUAAUGCAGUAGCAGCAUCUCACCAAUGCAAUGCCUGCAGUCUGGGAUAGAUUUUGCAGAUCACCGCCUGUAAUGUAGUUCGCUCCAGGCACUAGGCCUGUUCGCACUGGCUGUGACUGUGACUGCUGCAAGGUGAGGGCUGGCCUCUGAGCUGUGAUCUGAUUCCAAAGCGAAGAAAAUGCUGGUGAUAAGUCAGGAGAGUGAAUGUUGCUUACACUCCCGACUGCUUUCUCUCAAAAACAAUCGUCAACAAAAUAUUUAAAAUUUUAUCUGUGUAUUUGCAUUACAGAUAACCAUUUGGGGACGAAGCCUUUGACAUCCAGCAAGGCAUCAUGGCUACUGCUGUUGAAUGAUGGCAGUCAAGGCCGGUUAGAGAGGCUUGUUUAUGGUCUAGUUAGUACUUAGUUAAAAUCAUGGACUGUCGUGUAAGUUCCUAGGGAAAUCAGAAUGGGGUAGACAGCUUUUAAGGGUUUUUUAAUGAAAAGAGGUUAAAUGUUUACAGGGCAUAAGAACUGCCACAUUAAAUAAACAUUUUUACAUUGCGGUUUGGUAUGCUUAUCGUUGCUCCUUGAACAUGCUCAUAAAAACCCCGUGACAUUUCUGUAGUUUUUAAAAGUAUGGUAGCGAGUAUUUUAAUAUCCUACAUAUACUAUAUAAAACAUGCUAAUCCAGGUGUUAACUGAUCUUAGAGUCAAGAAUAAUCCCCACCCCCUCUUAGCUCUGAAUGUGAUUCUAGGUUAACUGUAUUUCUUUUAUUUUUUUAAACAUUGGCCAUUUGGAGAAGCAGUUCUCAAUGUUUGCCCAUCAAAACUACCUGAAGGAUUUUUAGAAAGAACAGAGGCCCAGAUUCCAUCACAGCUGUACGGAAGCAGCCGACGGUGACGGAAAUGCCAGCUUGCUUCAGGUGUGGGUAUUUGCAUUAUGCUUUACGGUCCAGGGUCUUUUCUGUCUUGUUGAGUUUUGCGAAACUUAGUGAGGUCCUAGUAAAUCCCUUCAGUUUCUGGGAGGAGGCUGAGGCUUAAAAUCACGCUUGAUUUUUGAGUUUUCUAUUUCAUACUACUACAUUAGUGUUUGUUCUUGUUAUUAGGUCCCAUAAAAGUUUCGCAAUGGGAGAUACAAUUUUAAAUCAUUUUAUUAAAAAGCAUGCUAGAAGAAAUUUUUUAUAAUGACUGUGGCCUGAAGGUUUUUUUUUUGUUUUGUUUUUUAAUAUACAAUGUAUGCUUUCUCAUCUCAGUGCUGGUCCCUGUGACGCUCCCACCACCCGUUCACCCAUGCUCUUCCCACCUGUCAUGAUCCGGCAGAAUGUCUCUGGUUUAUAGCUGCUUCUUGAUUUUGAUUUUCACUUUAUUAUAACUUUUUUUGAAAAAGAUUAUUUAUGCAUACAAGAGCUGGGAUACAGGCCAGAGAUGUGGGGCGUGAGAGGAUUCACCAGAGAUAGAGUGGGGAACAGAACAGGCAGACUGACUGAAAUGCACUGCUGAGGGGAGCAGCGGGCGAGACAGGAGAGGUCUGCUACGCCAUAUGGGUAGCUCCCUGGCAGGCCAGGGAUCGAGCUCGUGCUGCAGAGGCUACGGAUUGCUUCACAGUGCCGUGAAGGGCUUAUUAACCCCUUGUGCCACCAGGGAGGCCCUAUUAUAACUUUUUUUCUUCUCCCUGAUCCCUUAUGUAGAGCCCCUACAUUCCUCCUAUAAGUGAAACCAUCCAGUUUUUUUCUUUCUGGCUUAUUUCACUGAGCAUGAUCCCUUCCAGCUCCAUCCAUGUUGCUGCAAAUGGCAUGAGUUUAUCUUUUUUUGAUUGCUGACUAAUAUUUCAAUGUAUGUACCACAUCUUCUUGAUCAGUCAUCUAUUUUUGGGUGGUUUCCAUAGCUUUCCUAUUGUAAAUAGUGCUGCUGUAAACAUAGGGGUAGCUACUGAAGGUAGAUUUUCUUAAAGGAGAAAAACUUUAGUUUUGGGGACUACUCAACAUUUUUACAUGUUUGUUAGGUACAUUAUUUUUACUGAACAACAUAAUUUCUCAUAACCCAUGGUUAAGUAUAAAAAAUGCCUAUUUUUUAAAACUUAGGAAAUUAAAUCCUAGACUAGAAUUUAAUACUCUUACUUUACAAACACUAGCUAAAGGAAUACACUCCCAUGCAGUACUCACAAAAGUUGAAGCACCUUUAUAGACACCGCCACCCUGAAGUGUCCAGAGGAAUGUUGAUAUUACACUAGCAAAGGCUAAGUAUUUACACUAUUCUGAAAACAUUUUAGCCUAUAUUACAGUGCCAUGAUUUCUCCUUUUAAGGAAAAUGAUAGACUGAAUUUCCCUGCAGUGUUCUGAGAGGAAAUAAGGUCACUUUUAAAAAUACAUCCAUGGUAACUAGUGGUUGCUUAAUUUUUUCCUGAAUUUUUAAGGUCCACCAAAGCACUACAUUGCAAACGGUCCUUUAGCCCAAAUUCAGUGUCUCUGUUUUGAUCUCGUUGUAAAAGAACUCUCUGUUCAUCCAUUCUUUUUGCCUGAGACCGUAAAAUAAGGCUGAAAAAGUCCUCAUCUGGUACCGUUGGUCCCUUCGAGGCAGCAGGCGGUGGGGCGCAUCUUUGAUCGUCGAGUCGGGACCCCUAAAGAUGCAGGAGAGGAGCGUGAGCAUGUCCUUUAGCGUUUUAUGUCUGAUGGACUCCGGAAAACAACUGAUCAUCUACUACACAGCAAACCCUUCCAAAUUAGACCUCCGGUACGGCCGAGGCUCUCGACCUCCGGGCUAUGUGCGGCACCACAUCGACUUACUUGACACUUUACAAGGAUGUCAAAGAAGUCUUCACCAGGCUCUCUGGUGUCGCCAGUCAUCAGGUGGCCAAGUACCGACUGCGUGUUGUUCUGUGUCAGACGAAGCCCUGGCAAGUUAUUGACGCUGGCUCUCUGGUCAUCAAGACGGCGGCUCUGUGAGCUGGCAAGAAGAUCUAAAAACUCAUCUGUGUUGGGGGACACCACCGAAACUGAUGGUGCUACGAGUAGGGAAAAAAACCCAAAAUAUAUGUAAACAUUUGGUACUUGCAGAUAGAGCCUUUCUGCCUUGUUCAGCCCCCACAGCUGCCCUGUCCUCCUGCUUUACCUCUUCACUGAGAGGCUGGGCCUGACCGGCUGGAUGGAGAGGGACAGAGGAACCCAAGUACUUCAAGUGACCAGUUGGAGGUUUCUCAGCUUGGACCAUGUUUCCUUUACAAGAUACAGAGCUGCCUUAUAAAACUGGAAAGAUAGCCACUAAAUCUAGGUCAGUAAAUCACCUUUCUUACGUAAUUUCUCAGAUCACGAUGAAUGGGAAAGUGUUUUUAUUCCUGUUUUGAAUGGUACAAACAACUCUUAGAUUAGCUAACUGACCUUAAGUGUAAAUCCUACUAGCAAAGAAGUCUUUUUGGUGGCUGAAAUAGAAGAGUUUAACCUAUUUUAGACUUUUGUUAAGACUCAAACAGGCAUUAAGAAACUUCAGUUGUAGCUGAAGCUAUGGGUUACUCUAGUCUGCGUGUUUUUCUUUAAUUCAGAUAUGAAGCAUUUGUACUUUUUAUACAAAUAUAAGGUACAUAUAUAACUAUAGUUUUAGAAGUUAUAAAAUUUUUCCCAACCCCAAAACAACUAAGGAGGCAGUAUUACAGAUGGUUAACAGAAGGUGUGCUGGACCAGAAACAUCAUCGGCUCAGAAGUGAAAUAUUCCUAUUUGAACUGUACAAAUACUAGCAUUUCAUAUAUCCCUAGAUGUAUUUAUCUCCUGUGAAGAUAACUGAAUUCCCAGAAAUAGACCACAAUAAUAAAGGGAGCUAUGAAGAUUGGGGGAGAAGCAUAGAUAACUUACUUUUUAGCACUUUGUGGGGCGUGGAGGAAGUCGCUGUUGAAGCUGCUCCGUGAUUCCGUCCCUGCAAGCAGCACCUCUGAUCAUCCAUCCGAUUGCUUUGAAAUCGACUUAACAGGUCAAAGAAGCCUUCGUCUCCAAUGGUAUCUGCACUGAUUUUCUAAAAUAUUGAGAGAAAAUUUAAAUAUUCCAGGAUGAUGAGUAGGCUUAUCAGUGGAACAAAUUGAUACAAAAGGUAAUGUGAAGAUUAAAAAUAAAAAUUGACAUGUUCUUUAUAAAAAUAACCACUUGAUGACAACUUCUUUGACACCCUUGUAAAAACUUAUUUCAAUCUAAGAGCAUUUCUAUUUUAGUUUUCAUUCUCUGUAUCCCUAAGGCUAACGCAGUGUGCCUCAGAGUCCAUAAACUGGUACAGAUGCUUCAUAAAUUAGGCAAAUAUCAUACCCCAGGCUCAUUAAGACUCUUACAACAGCAUUUAAGUGAUCUAAGAACUGAUUAAGAAAGCACGUGCAUUAUCCCAGCAUAGUGAUUUCCAAGGUCUUAUAUUUGAAGAUACCAGAAAAAUAAAUUAUUUGGGGAAGAGGAAACCUGCCAUACUUUACUUAGAAGGCUUAGAAAACUAAACUGUUUUACUGAUAUACAUAGUAUAAUAGAAAUACAUAUAUAUAAAUUAUUACGGUCUAACUACUACUCUGGAAAUAAGAUUUUUGAGUUGGCACCUGAUGAUGAGCAGGCAUUUGCAGGCACAGUUUCAUACUGAAUAUUUCAAAGGUUUACAGUACUCUCUGGAUGAUUAGCCUUCUGUGUGUGCGAAAUAAGAACACUGUUAAUAGUCAGUGGUAAGUGGUUUUUUACAGAACUGGCCCCUCUAAUGGACUGGAGGGCUUAAUAAUUCGAGAUCAGUACAGGUGCCUAUUCCAAAAGUAUGGGUACAAGAUCGCUAUUUUUUUUUAAAGGGGCAGGGGAAGAAUGUGAGGAUACGGGAAUGACUAGAUCUCUGAAUAUGGUUAGUGAAGGAACGGGAAGUUUAUAGACACCUGAGUUGCUAACUUGGUUGACAAAGUACAUGGCAUUCCUGUAACUGGAAGAAAGACAGGAAGGGUUCAGAGUACAACCGUCAGCAGCUGAUUUUGCAGUCUGAGAAUGGCAUGCACACAAGCUGUGGUCAAAUGCAUUAGUCACUGCAAAAAUACUAAUUCAUGUUCUGAACAUCAAAAUACACAAUGGUUCCAGAACUAUAAACAUUUUCAGUUACGCUCAAUAGGCUGUUUUGACUUCAAACUUGGGACAAAGGUUUUUCUUGAAUUGCAGUUGUGCUUAUUAUGUCAGUUAAGGCAAAGGUACGAGGAUGCAGAUAGAUGGAAGGCUGACAAGAGAACCAAUAAGGGUCUGUUUAAAAAAUAAGACUAAAUCUCUUAAAAGGCCCUUAUUGCUUGAAAAAUGGAUUUGAUCACCUUUGUCAUUUAUUAUGAUGCUUAGCUAGAUUAGAGGCACCCCUGAACUUACCAGUAAACUCGUGGUAUUUUUAUUUCUAAUUAAGUUAUAUUUAAUAAUGUAAUUCCUACGUUCAUUUUUCAUCAAAAUAGUUCACUAUAAUUUCAAUAAUAUAAAAUAGAAGUUGAUGUUAGCAAGCAAAAUUCUUCAUUUUAAAUCUGUAUGUAGCAAUCAUGAACAUCUGAAUUUAAUUUAUUCUGAUUUCUGAGCUGAACGGAGGAUGAUUUACUGGGAGUACUGCAAUGAAAUAAAAGGUAGUAUUUUUGCAAACAAUAGUAACUGGAAACAAAUACUGUCCAAACAAGUACUGUCAUAGACUUAGCUAUGAAUGAAGUAAUUUCUGUUUUUAGCUUUGAAGAAGACAGGAAAGGGAAAUGUAGAAGACUUCUUUGAAAAACAGAUAUUUUGUAUUAGGUGUCUUAUGUAGAGUUACUAAAAAAUUCAGUGUGAACACAAGAAAAACGAUACUUAAAAACUUGUUUUAAACAUACCCUCUGAGAAUUUGAAAUUCGGUGAUCAAUGGAAUUACUGGCAUCUUGGAGAACUUUAGUGGAGGAAUUAGUUUUGUAUUUUUUCCCCUUCAAUCUGUUCACAAAGAGUAGCUUUGCAGAAGGUUUGGCAAUAAGUGGUUUUUGUUUAACAAGAAUUUCACUGUUCCAGUUCUGUACCUACAGAAUUACAAACACAAAUGGUAAGCAAGAUAGGAAAAAGAACAGUAAAGCUAUUUCUCAUUUCCUAUAUUAACCUGCCAUCUUCACUCAUUUAGUACUGAAAGGCUGAAAUAUCUUAAAUUCCUACUGUCAUAUAUCAUUAUUUUUAGUAACUCAUACCAAACGUAUAUUAUGGAUUUCUCAUCAGAACGUUAAAAUGGUAGUUGAAGAACGAGAGAAUAAGAAAACAAAAUUGGCCAAAAUCCCAAAUAAAUGAAAUGUGAAUGGUGAGGAAUUUUUUAUUCUGGAUGUGAAUUACUUAAAAAUCUAUUACCAAGAGUAACAGUGGACAUUGUGGAUGUAUGUAGAAUUUUGAACUGUACAAACGAACACCCAAAACACAUAUAUAGCACUGUUAAUUUUUCUUUUGAUAAAAUUAUUUUCAGCUAACCAUAUUUUAAAAUUUUAAUAGGCAAGACAUUUAUGAGCAAUUUAUCUAGUUCUAGUUCUGUUUUUAUUUAUUUUUAUUUAUUUGUUUAUUUAUUUGUUUGUUUAUACAAGCACUGGGUACAGUCAGAAGCGUGGGAGGGUGAGAGAAUUCACCAGAGCCAGAGCAGGGAGCAGAGCAGGCAGAAGGACCAAAGUACACUGCUGAGGGGAGCAGCGGGUGGCAGGAGAGGUCUGCGCACCAUGUGGGACCCUCCUCCUGUGGCUGGGGAGCAGCCGGGGAUCGAUCCGGCGCCACAGAGGCCACGAGGAGCUUCGCAACCCAGCGCUCAACCACUGCGCCACCGGGGAGGCCCUAGUUCUGUUUUUAAAUAAAACAACUUCUAACAGACACCAAAUAACAAAUAUUGGAGUGCAGAUAUGGGGAGUAGCUCUGUGACAUUUUCCACUUUAAAAGGGACACCUCCAGGAGAAAGCAGCAGUUUCCACAGGCCAAGGGCUGAGUCCCCACAGAGCUGCAGAUGCCAGUCACCAACCCCUGCUGUUCACUGUGCUUCUGGCCAACUGACUAUAGAGCAAGAGCCCUUGCUCGGGUUCAACCCAUUUGCUGGCGCAGCUCACAGAACUCAGAGCACUGAGUUGCUGGAUCACCAGAUGACCUGCUCACUACAGAGGACACUGAGUAUCAGGCUGCUAAGAGACACACGGGAAGCAGUAUGGGGAACGGGCACUGAGCUGCCAUGGUCUCUUCAGGGGCACCAAAUUCCUACCAUCUCUACCUGUUCAUCAGCCCGGCAGCUCUCCCAGGCCCUUCCUUUAGGGUUUUUCCUUUAGGGUUUUUAUGGAGGCUCUAUCCCCAUAGGGAUGGCUGAUGAAAUCACUAUCCAGUCCCUCUCUCCUCCCUGGAGAUCUAGGGGUGAGCCCUCUAAUCAUGAGGCUGGCAACCAGCCCCCAUCCACAGAUGCUUCCAAAAGUCACCUCAUUAAAACGACCUGAAACAUCUUUAUUACUCAACAUUGAAAAUUACAAGCAUUUUGGGAGCUCUGAGUCGGGAACUGAAUGAAGACCAAGUAUGUAUGAAAUGGUAUCUGGAUAACCAAAUUACGCUUUUCCUAUAAAUUCCAGUAUCACAGGAGGAAAAAGACAUUUUUUAGACAUCCAACUGCACUCCUUCCCAAGAAGUAUCUUAAUCUGCAAGUCUCCAUUUUUCCUGUAUAUACUUCCUUAUUUGAGGGUACUGAAAUAAUGAAUUCGUUGAUAACAUCCAAAAAAAAAAAAAAAAAAGCCUACACCAAGAACUAAUUCCACUCAAACAGAUUUUAAAUCAGAGAAACUUGAUUGUCAUUUGUCGCUUGGAAAAUUACAGAGUGGAGUCCGUCAGCCUUUCCGUGGGCUACUGUUAGUGCCCGUCAGUGGGAGCCCAAGGGGGCAGACUCGUUUGGCUACUGAGCAGCAGGUUCCUACAAGGAGGAAAGUAGACCUAAAUUAUUUGUUUUCAAAAAUACUUUGUAGAUUUAAAAGAUUUGGGAGCAACUCACAAGAGAUGGGUAUGUGAGAAAAUCAAAGUCCUUUGGAAGUUAACCAAAGUUUUGAAACAACUGGAAUUGUUUGGAGCUUUCAAACUUGUGGAUGUCAAGUCCAGAUCAGAUGCUGGGCUCAUGAGUGCUACACGCACUAAGUCAGAAUGCUCGAAAGUCAAAAUAUUAAAGUCAUAUGCCUGUUAUAACAAUAAGGUAAUACAUGUACAUGGUUGGUAUUUAACAUGAAAAGAUGUUCUAAUAGCAGCUAAUAUUAAUAUGAAAAUUUAAGGUGAAUAAAUAAAAUGGCUACCAUUAGGAGGUGGGAUUAAUGAUCAUUUUAAUUUCUUUGUUGGAAUUUUCUAAUGUUAUAACGAACAUAUUAGAAGUAUUUUAAAAACACUGUAAAAGAAUAAACCUGCUGUAACAGUGAAACAGCUGGAAGAAAGUAGCUGAAGAUUCAUUCUUCAGAAACCUUUUUCCAAUUAAGUUCCUCCUCUUAAAAAAAAAAAAGGCUAGAGAGGGCACAUCUUGAGUAAAAAGUAAUUUGUUAAAGUUUUCAAAAAUGUAGUUGGAAAUAGUCUCUUGAUAAUAAUUAUCCAUCAUCUUAGCCAAAAUGUAAACUCGGGAAAACGUACACUUCCUGGCCCUUGUUUGAUUUUCCUAAUAUUUUAAUUUAAAAAAACAAACAUAAUACAUCUACACAGUAAUAAGGUAUUUAAGCAGUUCAAGCUGUUACUGGUUAUAUAUUUCUCUCUGUAUUAUAUAUACGAUUUUUUGUCCUUUUCUCAGAGGCAACCAUUAACAAGUAUCUUAUAGGCUCUUCCAGAAAUGUUUCACACAUCUGCAAAGGCUAUAUAUGCCUUAAACCGCCCGCAGCAUACUGAAUGCAUGUGUAUACUGUGCUUUUUUGAUUUUUAAAUGAAAAUUUUAAAAUGAUAUAUAGGACAAGACUUAUUUAAACAUUUUCACUUAAAGUAAAAGUUACUAAAAAUUCAAGAAAUUUAAGUUACUAAAAGUUCAAGAAAUUUAAGACAUGAAAAUUGCCAACCUUUUCUGGUGUCAACUUCAUAAGCUCCAUGUUUUCCAUACUGUGCCGUCGUCCAAACUUAGGCCGUGUGCCUUUGUUUAAAACAAAAACAAGAAAACAGUAAAAUAAACUAGGGAGCCCUCCAGGUUACAACUGCUGCAUGGCUGUCACGCAGUGUUAAAGUCUCUUCUACAAACCCGCGUGAGAGGAGGAGACAUGUAAUGCAGCAUGUGUUCCUUUAAGAAUAGUAAUUUCCCUUACCAACUACAUAAAAAUAGAACCUCCACACCCCCUAAAAUGCUUUGAUGAAAGGAAGCUACAUUUUGGUUGGAAACUAACUUUGGUUACUAACAUUACCCCUUAAUUUAGGAAAGGAGUUUUGAAAUAACUGGUUUAGUAUGAGCCACAGUCUCUUAAAAAAAAAAAAACAAAAACAAAAACCCAAACAAGCUGUAGAGCAGAUUAAGGAACAGGCUUUGAGGCCUUUGAGAAUCCCCAGCACUACACCGUUACUCCUUUCUAAAUUAUCCUUUUCCAUUUAAGAUCUGGCUUCUGCCAGUCAGAAAGAAAAAUACAUCCUCGGGGGGUUUUUUCAAGAGUUAUUAAAAACUGAAUUUUCAUAUCCAAUCUUUUUUAAGAUUUUAAAAAGUCAUAAUUUUAAAAAGGCAUAAUCUAUGGAAAAACAUGACACCUAAUACCCAGCUUAAGAAAUGAAUCAUUACUGACACAUUAGAUACCCCUUAAUAAAACUCCCUCCAUUCAUUUUCCCCUUCCCUGCAGUUUUUUAUAUUUUCUCUACGUGUCUGUAUCUGUAAGCAACACGGACUACGUAACAUGAUAGAAAUGGUUUCAUCUGUUAUGUUCUGUAACUUGCUUCCUUUGAGCAAGCUUAUGUUUGUGAGCUUCAUCCAAGUUAUUAAUGUAGUUUUAUCAUUUUAGGGCUAGCACAUACUUUACCCAGUUGGUGACAAAUAUUUAGGCUGCUUCCAAAUUCUUUGACAUUAUGUACUCCGGAAACCUUGGAAAUGCCUCUUAGUAUGUGCAAGCUCGUGUUCCCUCUGGUUUGGACAUCAAAGUUACAUGAUUGGGAGAAGAACUGUUGGUUCAUCUUGAACUUUUCCAGAGUGUUGCCAGAUUUUUUUUUUUUUUUUAGCAUUUGCUCAUUUUUUUUUUUUAUUUUAGCAGUGUUUAUGGAAGUUAUAUAUUAGAUGACGUUAUUCUUGAAUAUUCUCCAUUGCUUCUUCCUUGUGUUGGCCCUUUUCCUUUCCCACUUGAUGCGAUCUGGCUUCACGUUCUAGGAUCUUUUUGCAGACUUUGUCCAGUGUUAGCCUAGGGAGAACCACCCUCCCAGGGUGAAUGCCGGGAAUGGCUGUGCCAGCCUCCUCCCGCUGCACUCCUUCAGCUAAGCUGGCGCCUUUCUGCCUGUCAGCCUGGACCGCUUGGCAGAGCUGCUGCCCUUGAGAGUGUCCUUUACCACCUGAACUCCAUCACGCCUUAUGGAUGGGCACGGAGCAGACACCGUCUCAGCAUUAUGGAAAGAGGGGAAGACACCAUCUUCCUCCGAAUGUGGGGCGGUGCGCCGACGUGCUUUUUAUGGCUCUUGCUCCAGUCGGAAGUCGCAAAGGGAUCGAACCUCAUUCUGGCCACAGGGGCUUCAGCAAUGGCUGCAAAAGGACUAGAAUCCACAAACUUCUUUUUUUGGUAAAGUUUCUAUUCCCAUCAACACUAAGGGCCUCCAUUCGUCUACAUCAUUUUUUAACAGUGGCGCUGUCAGACUUUUAAAUUUUCAUGCCGCCUCAUAGUUUUCACUAUUACUUCACUGUGAUUGUCCCUGAUUAAAGUCACCUAUCUUUUCACAUAUUUAUGAGCUAUUUGUGUAUCUUCUCUUCACCACUCUUGCCUAUUUUUUAUUUAGGUAACUUGACUUGUUUUUAAUUCAUAGUUUUCCCUACACAUUUGAAUGCAAAUCCUUUUUUUUAAUCAUAUGCUGCAAAUAUGUCCUUGCAAUUUGUGUUUUAUCUCUUUAUGGUUACUCCAAAUGAGAUGAAGUUCUUAAUUUCAGUGUCCGUCUUUUCCUUGAUGGUUUUAUCUGUGUAUCUUAAGAAAUCCUCUCUGAAAUUCAUGACAAAAGCUAUAAAAUACUAUUUUCUGUAUUGUUAAAUUAACAGGACUAUGGUAAAGCAAAAAAGGUAUAAAAAGUUUUCUAUGUAACGUUCUCUCAGGAUCUGAUAAACAUAAUAAAUAAAUGUAAAUUUUUAGGAUGGGGUGUUAGAAGACCUAUUACUUACCAUGUAAACUGUUAUCAAUUUCAAUAUUUUCUGACAUUAUUGAAUUAUUCGUGCUGUAGCUCAGACCAAGAACCAUUUGCAGAUCUGAGAGAUUCAGUCGUGCCGUUAGCUCACCACUUCUAUCCCCAACCUACAACCACAAGCAUUUAUACUUUAGCAUUGAAAGACAGUCAGUGAAAGAUUUGUUUAGACUGUUGUGAACUUAAAACUGGAAGAAAACAGAAAUGAACAUAGUAUAUUAGAAGUA